RNAcentral lists this unclassified non-coding RNA (218 nucleotides) under Funneliformis mosseae. Its description in RNAcentral is "partial contains 5.8S ribosomal RNA and internal transcribed spacer 2". The stretch from base 1 to 71 matches the Rfam family "5.8S ribosomal RNA", at positions 84 to 154 of the family's 154-position model. The record is from RNAcentral. Lineage: Eukaryota; Fungi; Glomeromycota; Glomeromycetes; Glomerales; Glomeraceae.
GUGAAUCAUCGAAUUUUUGAACGCAAAUUGCACUCCCUGGUAUUCCGGGGAGUAUGCCUGUUUGAGGGUCGUUAGAAGAAAAAUUGAAGCUUCGAUUUUUUUUUGAGGGUGAUCGCGUCGGAUUUGAGCUGUCUUUCAAAUGUUAAUUCAUGUCAAAGUGGCUUAAAAUUCAUCCAUCCGGUUCGAUGAAUGCGUAUUUAAGACCAAUUAAGAUUAAG